UGAAGGGAUCAUGGCAUGGUAAUAUAUCAAAUUUACACUAAUACCACAUAAAAUGUACACAAAUUUUCAGAAUAUUGUGCCUGUCGCGAGAUCAACUUAUCAGCUUGAUUUUACUGUCUCGAUGGCGGCAACUAAAUCGUCGAAUUUGGCCCCUGUUACUUCUUUUACAACUUUGUUGUCCUUGAGAAUCUUGAAGGUUGGAACCACCCUUAAUCCGAGCUCUUUUGCCAAAGGCUUGUUUGUUUGAUUGCAGUCAAGCUUGAGAAAGACGACAUCGAGGUGUUUCUCUGAUAAUUCUUGAUAUUUAGGGGCAAUCACCUUACAAGGGCCGCACCACUGAGUAUACAUGUCGAGAACAACCGCCUUAUCCCCGGCGGCCUUCACGAUGGGCCAGAACGUGUCCUUAUUCACCUCCGUCACCGUCCCAACAGUGACGACCACGCCGGUUGAUAUGUCCAAGCUCGAUCUCACCACCACCGCCCGGCCCCUCCUGGCAUUCACCGAAACCCUAGCGACCCCGCCGGCCCCUCGCCGAUCUUGAACGGCAAAGGCUCGGAUCGGGUAGGCCGUGGACGGGACGGGAGAGGAGCGGAGUGUGGGAGAAGGGGAGAGGGAGAUCUGUAGCGACAUUGCCG
This 635-nucleotide unclassified non-coding RNA is filed under the name Hevea brasiliensis (rubber tree). The record is from RNAcentral. Lineage: Eukaryota; Viridiplantae; Streptophyta; Magnoliopsida; Malpighiales; Euphorbiaceae.